RNAcentral lists this long non-coding RNA (997 nucleotides) under Coffea arabica (coffee). RNAcentral describes it as "long non-coding RNA (CARA_LNC007920)". Lineage: Eukaryota; Viridiplantae; Streptophyta; Magnoliopsida; Gentianales; Rubiaceae. The record is from RNAcentral.
GUAUAGAUAAUUAAUAUGUUAGACCAUCACAUCUAUCAUAGGAUAUGUGAGACCACAAUAAGGAACAAGAAAAUGACAAUAAAGCAUAAGGGUUAGCAUGAAGUGAAGAAAUUGUGUUUCCCAAUUAAUAACCAGACAUUAAGCACUAAACGUCUAAAAUGCAUUUCCAAAAUUUCAUAACCAGUUCAUACCGACGCAAUACUUUUUCAAUUUGAAUAUAUUCCUUUGUAAUAAAAUCCAAAAGCAUAACAUAUAAAGGACACAAAGGAAGGGGGAAAGGUGAUUUGUUGCUUUUAGCCAAGGAAAGAUCAACAAAAAAUUGUCAGAAAAAAAAGUCAAAGGCAAACCUGAAGUGAACAUUUUGCCAAAAACUGAACUAUUCUUUCCUUCUUCUCGUGCUCCAUUAGUCUUCAAGAUAUGCAAAUCAUGUCAAUCUAGGUGAUAAGAAAACAAAACAAAAUAUUAACAGAUCAUGAUUUUGUUUAGCGAGUUAAGUAGACUUGCCUGUUUUUUUUUUUGGAACACCCUUUUAUUUCCUCUUCUCAGAGGCCGAGGGAGAUUUUUUGUGGUUCCCAAAAGAAAAAAAGAAUUAUACAGAAAAGUUAUGGCAAGCAAAAAAGGGAGAAAUUAUACAUAGAAAAGGGAAAAUGAAGGUGAGAAAAUAAAACCUGUGAGUAGCCAGAUGAAAAAAUAGUGAGCGAUCUACAAGAUCACACAAAAAAUUGUGGUCCAAAAGAAGUAAGAAAUUAGGCAUAAAAAUAGCAAAUUAACUAUAUAAAAGAACCUGGUAUCAGAUUUUCAGCUUCCAAUAGUGGGGAAAAAAUUAGAUAGAAGAGGAGGAGAUAAAAGGAGAGUUGAAUUUAAGGAAGACUUCUUCAUAAAAUGAGUCUUCAGAGGUUUUGGUAUGGAGAAGAAAGAUGAUUUUGGAUGGACAAAAGAGAAGUGAGGAGAGAUGAUCGAGAAAAACGAGUCAUGGAUAGGUGAUUUGCAGCGGAGA